Molecule: ribosomal RNA, 715 nt
Filed under: uncultured Clavaria
Lineage: Eukaryota; Fungi; Basidiomycota; Agaricomycetes; Agaricales; Clavariaceae
Description: eukaryotic LSU rRNA
Rfam family: 5.8S ribosomal RNA (bases 282-435)
Source: RNAcentral
CUUGGUCAUUUAGAGGAAGUAAAAGUCGUAACAAGGUUUCCGUAGGUGAACCUGCGGAAGGAUCAUUAUUGAUUUUUAAAGAUGUGCUGGCACUCCUUCACCGGUUUGCAUGUGCACUCUGCAAAAUCUCCUUCUCUUACCCCACUGUGCACACCCAAGUAGACAAACAGAGUUACAGAGCAAUCUGUGUAAUUCCUGAUUUGCCUAUGUUUUUAUCAAACACCAAUAACAAUAUCAGAAUGAUCUAUAUAGUAAGCUUUUAACAAGCUGAAAUUUAAUACAACUUUCAACAAUGGAUCUCUUGGUUCUCGCAUCGAUGAAGAACGCAGCGAAUUGCGAUAUGUAAUGUGAAUUGCAGAAUUCAGUGAAUCAUCGAAUCUUUGAACGCACCUUGCACCCUCUGGCAUUCCGGAGGGUAUGCCUGUUUGAGUGUCAUUAAUCUCUCAACACAAGAAACUUUGUCUUCUUGUGCUUGGAUAUUGAAGGUUUUGCUGGCGCAAACAACUGUCAGCUCCUUUUAAAUGUAUUAGCAGAGCAGUAUGGGACUGGCCUCGGUUUGAUAAGAAACUUUAUCUAUGCUGUCGCUGGGUUUUCCUCUUUGUGCUCAGCUUCAAAUUGUCUUCGGACUGUCUCUUGAGGCAACAAAAUUUCUAUUGAUCGACCUCAAAUCAGGUAGGACUACCCGCUGAACUUAAGCAUAUCAAUAAGCGGAGGA